AUGUGAUCCGGAGGAAAAGCCUGAGCUACCGCUUAGGGCGGCGCAUUCUUUGGGAGUUAACGAGGCAGAUUAGAUUCGCCUUGUAUCGAAUACAGAGAACGGCGAGGAGGCACUCUGUUCUCCGCGAAAGGACUCCCAGAAUUCUCAGCAGUGACAAUGCUGUUUGGGGAGUUCAGGAAAUUGGAUUUUGCACAUUUGGAAAUUAGCAAGAUUAAGAAACAGUUCUUAAGCAAGAAGAAGAAUCAAGGGAAUAACAUUCUCUCAUAAUCUCCUUUGUCUCUGCUUCACUGAGCUACAGAAAUUUACAAUUUGUGAUAUAGCAGUCCAGUUUAAAGCACUUCUGUGUUCAGGAUUUAUUUUUUCUAGAAACUUUGAAAGAUAUCGGAUCUACAGUAACAUUGAACACAAAGCUUCAGUUUAAUGUGCACAUCUUAUAUAAGGAAGAGAUGGAGGAAUAUAUAGAAAUAUCUCCAGUCAAGACCUUCUCCUUGCUAAUAGUAGCCUAUAGGGAAAAUAGGUAUUCCUGUUAUCCUUGAAUCUAGCAUCGGGAUAUGCUAAAAUGUUUCCAGGAAUGAAAAAGACUUUGGACAAGAAAAAGUAAAAACAGUCUAGAUCCAUGAUGGCAACCUAUGGUACACGUGCCAGAGAUGGCACACAGACCCCUCUCUGCUGGCACAUGCACCACCCAGCUCAGCUCUCUGGAGUUUCUUUCGUGACCUUCUGUUUCCCUGCAAACGACGAAACAGUUCACGAAAGAAAAGAUCUUACCUCUUGCCAUGCUGCUAGUAUUGGGAUGUCCUGUCUCCCACUGGCCAGCUGGACUUCAGGUCUCUGCUGCGCAUGUCCAUGCAUGCCUGGGCGUGCAUGUCUACACAGGUGCACACACAACUUUCAGUUUAGGCAUGUGCAUGGUUUGGGCACCCGGUAUCUAAAAGGUUUGCCAUCACUGGUCUAGAUCUAAUAAAUAAUGCAAGCUGUUCAAAUACUAAAAUAAUAUUUUCCUUAUUGAAAUAAAAGUUUAAGUCAAUCACCUGUCUAUCUAAAGAAAAAGAAGGAAUAGGCGUAAAGAUUAAAAACAGUUUACAUGAGAAUGCUCAGAAAAGCAUAGAUUAGAAGUAGGUAGUUUGAAAUAUAAUCUUGAUAAUCAAUUGUACUAUAUAUUUCAAACAUAAUCUUGCUACAUACAUUAAACAAAUUACUUUUGAAGCCAUAUUUAGAAGUUUUGCCCGAAGCAGCUUAUAUCUUAUUUUAUUUUAUUUAUUUAUCCAACUUCAUUAUUGUAACUUAAUCUCACUUUUCUACUCAAAAGCUACUAGGUGUCCUUUGCAAUUUAUUCCAUUUUAUCCAAUAUUCUGUAGCACAGGGUUUUUACCAAAGAGUCGUUUUAAUUAAGCACAAAUCAGACUUCUGUUUAUUAAAAAAAUACUUUACAGGGGAAAAAUUCUAUGCAUUCCAUUGUACUUUUUUAAAAACAAAUAGCUUUGACAGUGAUACGCUUGUACAGUCACCUACCGAAAGAAAUGCACUGUGUCAAAGGAUUAUUCACAGAGAGGGAUAAAAGUUUCCCAUCAGUUACACUAUUAUAAAAACUUCUUUAAAAACACUUGCUAAAAUGUCAAUAAAUAUACUAAGGCCACACAAAGCAAACAAAAACAAAAAGAAAAAACAGACUUCCAGGCAAUUGUACAUAUCCUUUAUAUGCAAAGACCUUAGAUUAUUAAAACCACAGAAAAAUAUCUUAGCUGCCAAUCUAAACUGAAUUUAAUCACAAAACACUACACAAAUCUAUUUUAUACAACAUGAAAAGAUAGGUAUUUGCUUAGACAGAAUUGAAAGUGCUAGAUUAAGAGAAGCCCCUUAUCAACUACAUGUGCUAUUGGGUCCUAAAAUAUUAUGUAUAUCAAUGGAAGGCCAUAACAUUAUUGGAAAUGUGUUUAUUGGACCAACAUAUAGUUUAUCCACAUUACAAAACUUUAGGAGCUGAAGGAUAAAUAUCCUUAUUCAUAGCAACCUUCAAACACAACUAAUAUGGCUAUAAAUAGCAUUUGUAAGGAAAUAAAGAGUGCUAUCCCACCAACAGUAAACACAUUUAGAGUUCCACUGAUUCCAAUGGAGAAUUAAGCAUCUGCUUAUCUCCCAUUCAAAUAAAUGGAACUUUUAGGUGCUUAACUUUGGCUGGAUUGUGCCACAAGUGAAGAUAAUUCACCACCCAGAAUAAAUUCCAAGCAUAUGAAUGGCAGCAUGAGAAAAAAAAAGUUAUAUGCAUCUUGGGGCUCUGCCUAUAAACUUUCUUGUCUCUGAGCAAAUGUUAUGCCCUCAAAAUAGGAAAACAGCUAACGAGCCCUUUUAUUAUAUGGUAAAAAUGUUGUACUGGAAGUAUUUCUAAUUUCACAUGACAACUCCAUAUGUUCCAUCUUCAUGGAAGAGAACAUAUCCAUUGUAUACACAUUACUUCAUGUUCAGAAAUAUGUGAAGGAGGAUGUGAAAUAUUUAGUUCACUUAAAUGUUAAUUUUGCUUUUAUGAUUUGCUAAAUGAAUCAGUAGCCCAAUACAACCUUUCUUGAUACAUAUUAUUUUCAUUGGUAUUUAAACAGAAAUAGAUUUUAGUAAAAGAAAAAAAAAUUUCCCAGCUUUCAACUUAGAGCUGCUCAGGAUCUUUAAAUAAGAACCUUUGUGGAUCUGCUAAUGGCAUUUAAAAGGCAGAAUAUAAUGAAUGCUUAACUAGUAUUAAAACCAUUAUAUAGAUUAGAAAAUGUAUUCCCAAAUUGUCCACUACUAAUAAAUAAAUGUAAAGAUUUUUCUGCCUUUAAUCUUCAUUUGAUUUGUAAUUAUAUAAUGUCCACAUAUUUUGCAAUUUAUAAAAUAAGAUUUCUUGUCAUGUUCAAGUGAAAUCUCUUUGCAAAGCAUUAAAGUAUCAAUUACUCUGGCAAGAUCAUUUUUUGAAUUCAUCACAUCAGCACAAAUCACUCCCAACAUCUUCCUGAGACAUUAAUUUCCAUCUCUUUUCUACUUCAAGAGCAAAUAUUAUGUUCUCAAACAAAAUCAUUAAGAUAAACCAUUCUGUCACUCACUUUGUCAGGUCCAUUUUGAUUAUUUUUCACUCAAGUGUUUGUAUUGGUCUUUCUACUCUAGAAUAUACAUGGAUUGGUACAUCAGUUAUAGUGCUUUUGAUUAACUAUUCCUAUAAGAAGAAUCUAAACCACUGAGCCAGAGUGCGAUGCAUGCAUUCAGGCUUUCUGACUGAGCCUUCUUCCUACUCCUGGAAAAGCUUAAAUUCUGAAUCUCAGGAGUUUCUAGGAAAAACAGUCUAGCAGUAUGAGGUGAGCUACAGGCAUAAAGAGAAAUAAGCAGAGUCCUGGCAGAUACACCAAAAUUCAUGCUCAGACUUCUUUGGUAUUUGCUAGGGAAUGCAGUAAUAGUGACAAUUCAUACUUACUAUUGUAAAGAUGUGGCCAAAGUAAUUGCAGUAAAGAUGAUAUUAUUAAAUUAAAAUAGGUGACUGAAAAUAAAUUUGAUGGUUGAAAUGUAAGUCGGUGAAUACAUAAUACCAUAAAAUUUGACACAAAACUUUUGAGUUGGAAAAAUGCGAGAUGCUGCUUCAGAAUCAUUCAUUUAAUCUUCUUAAUCUUUCAUGAAUGACAAAAGUCAUGAAUGCUCAUUUCACAUACCUUUAGUAGGUUGUUUCUUAAUUAAAAAAGGCUUGUAAGCCUAUUGCUGUAAUGUGAUGGACACAAAAAACCCUUUAAGGUUAUUGAACUGGAUCCAGAACUGUGCACAAUAGAGUUCACAUUGGG
Thamnophis elegans (Western terrestrial garter snake) is the source of this 3794-nucleotide long non-coding RNA. RefSeq lists it as uncharacterized. The record is from RefSeq and is a predicted model, not a curated record. The transcript is spliced from 2 exons. NCBI's taxonomy places the organism in Eukaryota, Metazoa, Chordata, Lepidosauria, Squamata, Natricidae.